GCCGGCGUUUUGCUCGAGCAUCCGAUUCCGCUGAGCUUCGCGACGCGAUACGGUUCAACGCCGUAUUCAUAAAACGCCUUGAUGAUCUGCGACGUCACG
This 99-nucleotide unclassified non-coding RNA is filed under the name fungal sp. RNAcentral's name for it is "partial internal transcribed spacer region". The record is from RNAcentral. Lineage: Eukaryota; Fungi.